Molecule: unclassified non-coding RNA, 300 nt
Filed under: uncultured fungus
Lineage: Eukaryota; Fungi
Description: sequence contains 5.8S rRNA gene, ITS2
Rfam family: 5.8S ribosomal RNA (bases 1-71)
Source: RNAcentral
GUGAAUCAUCGAAUCUUUGAACGCAUAUUGCGCUCUCUGGCAUUCCGGAGAGCAUGCCUGUUUGAGUAUCAUUAAACAACAUCAAGCCACCCCCUUUUGUAUAAGGGUUGGGGCGCUUGGACCUGAGCUUUCUCAGCAGGGAGGAAUGGGGCGGGGAAUCGUAUGUGCGAAUCCAAUUCCCCCUCCCCCCACUGGGUUGCUUUAAAUGCAUGGGUUGCAGGCUUGUUCAGCUUACGGCGUGAUAUUUUAUCCUCACGGAUAAUCCCCUUCGCCCAGACACUGUGGCAAGCGCGGCGAUCU